CGCCCAUACCUUUCCUCGCGAGUCGCGAUACAACAGCGCCGCCCCUCCCAGCCGUCCUUCCCCUCGCUCCCUCACUCCGCCCUGCCGCCGGCUACCCUCCUCUCCAUCUCCGCACGCCGCACCCAGCGGCACCGUCCAACGCUAGGCCAUGCCUCUCCUCCCCGCCGCCAUGGCCGGCACCGGCGCGAUGCCGUCCGGGACGGCGGCCGAGUGGGCCGACAGAUUCUUCUCCAAUCGUCCGCUUCAGCGUCUGACCUCGCCUCCUCCGAUCCGGGGCCUCCCCAACGAUCCGCUCUGAUCCGAGGAACUCGCCGCCGGCCCUGCGUCCCCCUUACCCUCAGACUCGCGUCCGCCCUCGCCGUCGCCUCCUCCUCCGACAAGCCGGCGCUGCAAACCGAGGACGUUGUGGUCGUCCUCCACGUUGACGUGGCCUCCCCCGAGCCGGCGCCUUCCCGAGGAUCCGCUCCGAUCCGUCACCCUCACCCUCGGACCCGCGUUCGCGCUCGUCGUCCUCACCGGUACCCGCCUUCACGCGCGUCCCGACGGCGCCGCGUUGCACGAGUGGUGGGCUGUCAGUUAGGUGCGACACCGGCUUGUGCAGACGACGGCAUGAUGCGCCUUACGCAGGGGAGUGUGAACGGAGGCGUGAUGCAAGGGACGGAUCACCGGCAGCAUGAAGGUGCGACCAUGGCGGUGCCGAUGGACACAUCCUCUGUCCGUGCCUAGGUCGCCGUCGAGUCAGGUGCGACACUGCUUGUUGCAGACGGUCGCAGAGGAGCGCAAACGGUGAGCGGAGGCAUGACACAAAGGAGUGUCCGCUUCCAAGAUGUCGAAGCCGAGAUAGGAGAGACUUUUGGCAUUAUUUUUAACCAAGGUGAUAUUAAUUCAGUAAUUUUCAAGGAUGCGGAAGGAUGCUACCCAUUUCAUGAGAAUAAAUAAGGGAAAAAAGAGAAGUCAGUAGUUUUGAAAGGGGUAUCACUGCAGUCAGGUAUUCAGGAGAUUUCAUAUUCUUGUGACAAUGCUUCGCAAAAUUUUAGAGAAUAGAAGAAGAACUGAGCAAUGACAGGAGGAGUCCCAGCAAUAUUGUCUCAAUAGAUGAACUGGACAAACCAUCUGCAGUAGUAAAUAAGUUUGUUAAUUGGUGAAAGUUCUUGCCCUAACAGAUCAUGACACCAUGGCUGGCAUACGGGAAGCUGUUUCAGCAGAUUCCAAAUUUGGCAUUAGAAUAAUUCCUGGAGUUGAAAUCAGUAUAAUCCAAGGUAAGUGCCUUCUAGCUUUCAGCGAAAAGACCUUUCAAUCUCAACAAUUAUGCCAUGUUACUAAAACGAUGACAUCACAUCUUAUCGUUGCAUACUCUCGUCAAUAGGUCUGCAGUAUUGUUUAAUGUUGCAUCGCCUUUCAAAUAAAAUAGCACUGUAAACAGCAUUUAAGCAGUUUUACUAUGACUAUGGAUGUUUCAUAUGAUGAUUCAUCAUAUUAUGAAUUUUAUUGUCUAUAAGGGAAGGUGCUGGUGAGCCUGUUCAUAUCCUUGCAUACUAUGGUACAUGCGGUCCAUCAAGGUCUGAUGAGUUGUACAGCAUGCCAUUGAACAUUAGAGAUGGGAGAUACUUACGUGCAAAAAAUAUGCUGACAAAGCUUUAAAGUGGGAGCGUGUAACUAAAAUUGCUGGUGAGGGAGUGGCACCUGGUCGAGUGCAUGUAGCAAGGGCUAUGGUUAUGUAGAGAAUGUAAAGUUGGACGACCUUGGUGAUGGUGACCCCGCAUAUGCUAGGAUAGCGUUGCAUAUACCGGACGAGCGAGAACGAGUCGCUGGGGCUGCUUCUGAUCCCCAGCAUAUGCCGGAGGAUCAAGCACUCGACCUGGCGACCAUGACCAGAAUGCUGCUGGAGGUCGCGAACAAAUGUAAAGAAUUCAAAGUGCUACUGAAUACCACCGCGAGGCAAGGUACUUGAUACAUGAAGUUUGGUCCAAUUGCAUGCAAACUUAUUCACCUGCUGGUCAUUUCCGAGCUGUUUAGCAUCUACACUAUCUUGUGGAGGGAAAUAACCGUAGAUUCAAGUGCUACUAUUUCUAGAUGAAUGGAUGAGUUAUUUUUGUGUUGUUGAAGAUGAAUACACAGAUCUGCAAGAACGACCAUUAUCAGUGUACAUUCUAAUCUAAUAAACCUAGUUAUCUUUGUAGUAUUUUCACCUUUUUUCUGUGAAAAAUAGGAGUCACCACUACUAGCUAUAGUGAAAUCUUGUUCUGUCCUGUGGGUGUUGAGUUAUAUGCACUACGAGGUAACAUAGUUCUCAUUUAUUUUGCAAUAAUGGAGCACUAACUUUUCAAACUUGGUGUGCAGGUCUAGGCAUCCGGAUACUCUGUGAUCCCUGUUCCCGCCAAGUACCACAGUUUGCUCAUGCGGCUCUAUUGCGUGGGAUAGAUAUGAUAUAAUGCUUGCGAAAGGAUUUAGAUCAAUAAGAGUUCAGUAUUUGGUGCAUUUUAUAUCGUCAAAGUCAAAGUUAAUAGGAUAACAUGUACGACCAUUUAGAUGAUUGUGUGUGGAUAUUAAUAGAGCUUCAAAUAUUAUGUGUUUCAAAUAUCACGUGUUUUCUUAUACUCUGUUUAUUAUUAUGAAACUAUCUUUUAUUA
This is a long non-coding RNA of Panicum virgatum (switchgrass), 2630 nucleotides long. RefSeq lists it as uncharacterized. The record is from RefSeq and is a predicted model, not a curated record. Lineage: Eukaryota; Viridiplantae; Streptophyta; Magnoliopsida; Poales; Poaceae. The transcript is spliced from 6 exons.